Molecule: long non-coding RNA, 1297 nt
Filed under: Felis catus (domestic cat)
Lineage: Eukaryota; Metazoa; Chordata; Mammalia; Carnivora; Felidae
Description: lncRNA (ENSFCAG00000047629.1)
Source: RNAcentral
CCCCCCGCUGUAGCCAUUUGUGUUUUUGACCCCUGCAGUGAAAACCUGCACAUCGCAAAGGCUUCUUCAUAUAAUCUACUCCUGGAGGAAUCAUCUGUCUUAAAAAUAAUAGUGCAAUAACUUCUUGGCAAAUACAAGUUCCCCACCUCCUCUCUGCCCUCAAUCUACCAUUCAGGCCCGCAUGUGAACCACUCGGGUCACAUCAAAAGCCAGCAGUCCCGACUGCCACGGAGGAGGUAUUUGGUUGACGCGGAGGACAGGACCUUUUGGGAGCAAGAGACAGUGCGAGCAGCAUUGGAGAUUUCACAUCCUUAUCCAGUCCCCACCUUAAGAGCAAAGAAUAAAGUGUCCCGUGAGAGGCCCCGACGGCAACGGCCAGCUUGUCAGAGGAGGGCCCAGGGCUCAGACACCCCCCUCUCGCCUGGGGCUUCCUCUUCCCUCAACAUCUUCAGCUCUCGUGACUUUUCUCUACUUGAGAAAACCUCUAUUCCUUGCAAAUUCGCGCGUCUCCUAUAAAAGAAAGCUCCUGAGAGAAUUAAUACAAUUAAGAAAUCGAUGCUUUCCUCCCAGAGAAAGGGAAAUAUUGACAUCACCUGGAGGGAACUUUAGACGCCAAGAACCGAUCAUGUACAGGCUUGCAGUUUCCACUCAAGGAGUGGUCUUUCGGAAGGAAGCUGCUGGAAUAUCUACCAGUAGAGGCCGGCUGCCACGGGAUUAAAACUAAAUGGGAAAGGAAGCCAUGAUCUCCAACCGGCAGCAUUUCCAUUAUUUUAAAAUCACAACAAAACAAACAAGAAACAAUUGCCAAUAAUAACAGUGCGUGUCCUCGUGUGCUCACUCUAAAAGAAACAACCUAAUUAAUCCAUUCAUUCCUGACAUAUGUGUCAACUGCCUAAUAAUAAUAAUUAAUAAUAAUAAUAGUAAUAAGAAGUCAUAAUGCCAGGCACUGCACGAGCUUUAACAUAAAUAAUCUUAUCCUCUUGACAGCCUAAUGAGACAGGUACUCUCAUCGGUAUCUACUUUUACAGAUGAGGGAACUGAGGCCAAGGAAGUUUCUGUACUUUGCUGUGGUACAAGCCGGGCCGUUUCCAGCAUUUGUAAUCCUGCAUUUUAACCCCAGAGCCUGGACUUUAAAGUGCUGCUGUGGAGUCUUAGUAACUGCCAUCUCUCUUUUAUCUCCAAAUCGUGAUCGAUGCCAAUGAAGUCAAACACGUCAAUAGAGACAGAAGAACGUCUCUCUAUAGGUAAAAACGUCACGUCGAUCACAGUGUCCUCGAACUCUUUCCCCAGGAAUGUC